Long non-coding RNA from Scatophagus argus, 1574 nucleotides. RefSeq lists it as uncharacterized. NCBI's taxonomy places the organism in Eukaryota, Metazoa, Chordata, Actinopteri, Scatophagidae. The transcript has 2 exons. The record is from RefSeq and is a predicted model, not a curated record.
UAAUCUAAUGUGUCUAAUCAAAUUUAAUCACUCUAACCUGUUUUAGUUCAUUUGCCAUGUGACACUACCAGAGCCAAAGGAAUGAAAACAAUAGGGGUUAGAUUUAGAACAGUGAUUCGAGUUUUGCUCCAAAGAGGGCAUAUCAACACUUAUAAGAGGACAAGUCCAAUCUUGCCAAACUAGACAGAGCUACCAGAAGCCUUAAGUUGUCAGAAAGAGAAUCCCACAAGUGCAAUAGCCAAAAAGCCCUGGAGUACUUGGAUAAGGGUAAUUUGAAGCCAGGCUUUGUUAAAUGGGCUGAAGAUCGGCCCUCAGUGGAAAGAAAUAGGUCAGUAAAAAAUGUGUCAGUUGGUGAAGUGUGUGACCUUGUAUAGACACAGGGGAAGUUUUAUUUUGAGUACAUUAGGAGGGGCAGACAAAUGCAGGAGCAGUGGAUAUGAGACCUGUAAAUGGUUUUGAGUUCUCACAACAAACAUAAAGCUACAAAGGCUUGACUGAAAAGUUAAUGUAGCCUCACAUUAUUGUGCCUGCCGUUAUGUUUAUAAUAAACCAGGUAAAGCUUUAUCCAAACACAAAAUAUUCUUUUAAUGUGCAUUAUCUUUAUUGAUUGUGAUUACGGGUGGAAAUUUUUACCCAGCUCGUCAGUGGUAGGCUAAGGCUCAAAGAUUUGAUUAAGUGCAUGAAGAUGAAAAGUCAAGCUGUAGGAUUCCAUUUCAGCUCAGGGCCGUUGGUUACUCCCAAGCCAAGGAUCACAUGUUUUCACACUGGCCGCUUUGUAUAACACUGUUUACACGGUGUAUCAAAUUUUCUGGGUGUGUGGACAAUGAAGAAUUUACCCUAAAAUUGUUGCUUCAUCCUCUGACCUCUACAGCCAUCAGCUGCUGACAGUAAUACCUUUUCCUGCUUGCAUUGUUUCACUUGUGUUUGGGUCAAGUUCAGGGGGAGCCUUCUCAUAGUUGUCCCACUGUAACGGAUACAACUGGAUGAGGAUAUUUUGUUUCUGCCUGAAUGAGCAAAGUUUAUUACCAAAACAUGUGUUUAAUAAGCAUUGUGCGAGCUGCCUGACCUGAGUAUGAACUCUUACAGCCAUCCUGUGAAGAUCCUUUUUAAAUAGACUUUUUAUGCUUAAUACAUGUCUUGAUUUAGCCUUCAAGAAACAUGGAGAGGUGGGGAAUGCUACAAAAAUCCCACCAUGUAUCUGAAGCAGAUAUGUUGCAUUUAAGUAGUAUGGCUCUUUGAAGGGUGUGUCUCUGGGGAGGCUUGAUAGUCAGGAUCAUCGAAGGUCUCUGUAGACUGUAAGCAGAGGUUAUGCUGUAGUUUCCUCUGACAUUGUUCAGUUUACGCUGGAUAAUCUGUAGACCUCAAUGCAAACAGUUUUCCAGUGAGAACCGUUCACCGCAAGGUCUGGGGAUUGCCCAGAGUGACUAAGAUAUUAGUACUGGAAAAACAUGUUUUUGACUCCAUCAGGUGUCAUCUUUCAGUGCUUUGACCUCAAUUACAUUUAAUCUGCUUGAACAGUAUUGUUGUGAUGACACAAACCAAAGAGAUAUGUCAAAACCCGAUUAAAUAAACAU